This 2141-nucleotide ribosomal RNA is filed under the name human gut metagenome. RNAcentral's name for it is "bacterial LSU rRNA". It matches the Rfam family "Bacterial large subunit ribosomal RNA", at positions 1 to 2007 of the family's 2925-position model. The record is from RNAcentral.
UGUUGCUUGCAAGGGCGUAUGGUGGAUGCCUUGGCAGACAGGACCGAUGAAGGACGUUUGAGGCUGCGAUAUGCCUCGGGGAGCCGCCAACAGGGCUUUGAUCCGAGGAUUUCCGAAUGGGGGAACCCACCGACCGUCAUGGGUCGGUACCGGCUUCGGCCGGGGGGUACGCAGGGAAGUGAAACAUCUCAGUACCUGCAGGAAAGGAUAUUCCGUGAGUAGUGGCGAGCGAAAGCGGAUGAUGGCCAAACCUUGCGCGUGUGAUACCCGUCGGGGGUUGCGCGCGGGGUGUUGCGGGAUCGCGUGUGCCGGCUCCGACGGGCCGGCCGGCAGUUGCAGAAAACCAUGUGUCAGGGGAACCGGGUUGAAUACCGGGCCGCAGAGGGUGAGGGCCCCGUACCUGAACGCGCAUGGUCUGCCGAUCGCGUCUCCCAAGUAGCACGGGUCCCGUGGAACCCCGUGCGAAUCCGCCCAGACCGUUGGGUAAGCCUGAAUAUUCCUGUCUGACCGAUAGCGAACGAGUACCGUGAGGGAAAGGUGAAAAGUACCCCGGGAGGGGAGUGAAACAGUCUCUGAAACCGUGCGCCUACAAUCCGUCGGAGCCCUUUUGUGGGGUGACGGCGUGCCUAUCGAAAAAUGAGUCUGCGAGUCAGUGGCAUGUGGCGAGCAUAACCCGUGUGGGGUAUGCGUAGCGAAGGCGAGUCUUAAAAGGCGUUUGAGUCGCGUGUCCUGGACCCGAAGCGGGAUGAUCUAGCCCUGAGCAGGUUGAAGCGCGGGUAAGACCGCGUGGAGGACCGAACCCACCUGGGUUGAAAACCGGGGGGAUGACUUGGGGUUAGGGGUGAAAGGCCAAUCAAAUUCCGUGAUAGCUGGUUCUCUCCGAAAUGCAUUUAGGUGCAGCGUCGGGGAUUACGUCCGGGGGGUAGAGCUACUGGAUGCUUGAGGGCCCGUAUCGGGUACCGACAGCAGCCAAACUCCGAAUACCCGUGACGCGUAUCCCGGCAGUGAGUCGGCGGGGGAUAAGCUCCGUCGUCGAAAGGGAGACAGCCCAGAUCGUCGUCUAAGGUCCCCAAGCGCGUGCUAAGUGGGAAAGGAUGUGGAGUCGCAUAGACAGCCAGGAGGUUGGCUCAGAAGCAGCCACCCUUGAAAGAGUGCGUAACAGCUCACUGGUCUAGUGGUUCCGCGCCGACAAUGUAGCGGGGCUCAAGCACACCACCGAAGACGCGGCAGUAUUUUGUACUGGGUAGGAGAGCGUCCCAUGAGGGGCGAAGCGGCCGUGUGAACGCGCCGUGGACUUCAUGGGAGUGAGAAUGCAGACAUGAGUAGCGAGAGACGGGUGAAGAUCCCGUCCGCUGGAUGACCAAGGGUUCCAGGGCCACGUUCAUCGUCCCUGGGUGAGUCGGGUCCUAAGGCGAGGCCGACAGGCGUAGUCGAAUGGAUGAACGGGUCGAUAUUCCCGUACCGGCUUUCAGCCGCCAAAACCGAGGCUUGGAGUACUAACCUCCGGGUCCGGGCUUACUGCUCCUUCGGGGGCGGGAUGCCCUGGCCUGUUGGGACCGAUCCUUGUAGUAGGUCAGCGCAGGAGUGACGCAGAAGGGUAGCCGGCCGCGGAGGUGGUCUUCCGUGGUCAAGCACGCAGGGCGUGGGACAGGCAAAUCCGUCCCGCAUGGGUCCGAGGUGCGAUGAUGGGGGCCUUAUGGCCCGAUAUCCGGUGAUCCCGGCUGCCGAGAAAAGCUUCGGCGUCAGGCUCAAAGCCGCCCGUACCCCAAACCGACACUGGUGGUCAGGUAGAGAAUACCAAAGCGAUCGAGCGAAUCCUGGUCAAGGAACUCGGCAAAUCACUCCCGUUCCUUCGGUUUAAGGGAGACCCCCGAUGGUGAACACACUUGCUGUGGGAGCUUUUGGGGGUGGCACAGACCAGGGGGUAGCGACUGUUUACCAAAAACACAGGUGCAUGCGAAGGCGCAAGCCGCUGUAUAUGCACUGACGCCUGCCCGGUGCCGGAAGGUUAAGAGGAUCCGUCAGCCUUCGGGUGAAGCGGUGAAUUCAAGCCCCGGUAAACGGCGGUGGUAACUAUAACCAUCCUAAGGUAGCGAAAUUCCUUGUCGGGUAAGUUCCGACCUGCACGAAUGGCGUAACGA